AUUGAACGCUGGCGGCAGGCCUAACACAUGCAAGUCGAACGAGUGGCGGACGGGUGAGUAAUGUCUGGGAAACUGCCUGAUGGAGGGGGAUAACUAUUGGAAACGGUAGCUAAUACCGCAUACCAUCAGAUGUGCCCAGAUGGGUUUGGCUUGUUGGUGGGGUAACGGCUAACCAAGGCGACGAUCCCUAGCUGGUCUGAGAGGAUGACCACCCACCCUGGAACUGAGACACGGUCCGGACUCCUACGGGAGGCAGCAGUGGGGACGAUGGCACAAUGGGCGCAAGCCUGAUGCAGCCAUGCCGCGGGUAUGAAGAAGGCCUUCGGUUUGUAAAGUACUUUCAGCGGGGAGGCGUUACCCGCAGAAGAAGCACCGGCUAACUCCGUGCCAGCAGCCGCGGUAAUUC
RNAcentral lists this ribosomal RNA (406 nucleotides) under uncultured bacterium. RNAcentral's name for it is "partial 16S ribosomal RNA". It matches the Rfam family "Bacterial small subunit ribosomal RNA", at positions 30 to 526 of the family's 1533-position model. The record is from RNAcentral.